Molecule: ribosomal RNA, 468 nt
Filed under: uncultured bacterium
Lineage: Bacteria
Description: partial 16S ribosomal RNA
Rfam family: Bacterial small subunit ribosomal RNA
Source: RNAcentral
GACGAACGCUGGCGGCGUGCUUAACACAUGCAAGUCGAACGGAAAGGCCCUGCUUUUGUGGGGUGCUCGAGUGGCGAACGGGUGAGUAACACGUGAGUAACCUGCCCUUGACUUUGGGAUAACUUCAGGAAACUGGGGCUAAUACCGGAUAGGAGCUCCUGCUGCAUGGUGGGGGUUGGAAAGUUUCGGCGGUUGGGGAUGGACUCGCGGCGUAUCAGCUUGUUGGUGGGGUAGUGGCUUACCAAGGCUUUGACGGGUAGCCGGCCUGAGAGGGUGACCGGCCACAUUGGGACUGAGAUACGGCCCAGACUCCUACGGGAGGCAGCAGUGGGGAAUGUUGCACAAUGGGCGGAAGCCUGAUGCAGCCACGCCGCGUGCGGGAUGACGGCCUUCGGGUUGUAAACCGCUUUCGCCUGUGACGAAGCGUGAGUGACGGUAAUGGGUAAAGAAGCACCGGCUAACUACGUG